RNAcentral lists this long non-coding RNA (3870 nucleotides) under Canis lupus familiaris (dog). RNAcentral's name for it is "lncRNA (ENSCAFG00040011905.1)". Lineage: Eukaryota; Metazoa; Chordata; Mammalia; Carnivora; Canidae. The record is from RNAcentral.
AGGAGGCCAUACACAUUUCAUAGUCUAAUUUUGCCUGUGUUCUGGCAGCUGCUCAAAGGGAGAAGCAUUAGCAUUAAACGGGCAGCUGACAUUUUGGAAGAUGAUUUCCUUUGUCUGUUUUGAAUACAGAAUAAGGUUAGUACCAUUUUUAAGGGUUACAGUGAUCAACAUCUGUUUUGGCCCCAGGAACGCCUAGAUCAGUGGAUCCAAAUCCUAAUUUCUCCACUUAUUACCUGUAUGAUUAUGGGUAACAUACUUAGCAUCUCUGAGUCUCUGUGUUUUUCAUUCAUAAAAAUAGAAGUCAUUGCUCCCUUUCCAACAUUUUUCUGAAAUUUAAACGGAAUAAAAUAAUGAAUAAGUAGCUAGGGAAAUUUGGGAACAUUAUAGUUGUAUAACAAUUAAUAGUUAUUGUUUCAAUUUAAAAAUGUUUCCUAAAUUCCAAAAUUUUCAUUCCUGAUGAUAAUAAUUUACUUUUGUAUUCUCAACAGCACCUAACAAAGUGCUUUUGCACAAAAUUAUGGUUCAAUAAGCAUUUGUUGCAUUCAAUUCAAUUCCCAAGUCUGAAUGAGCAAUAAAACUGACACAUGCUGUGUCUGCCAGGAAAUACACUGGCAAGGCUCAGAUUGUUCACAUGUGUUAGUUGGAAAUGGUCUAAGAGGAGAGAGAAGCCAGGCCUUUAAAAACAGCACUUUGGAAACUAUCCAGCAAUCAGCUUCACUUAUCUUGCAGAAAAGCACAAGGAAGGAGACUCUGUUUCUGAGCUUUUCAGUAGCCUUCAUUAAAACCAAUGUCCAGAGAGGCUGGUCAAGAGUGUGUUCUGUAGAGCAACUGGUUCUUAUAUGAAAAACCAAACUCCAAGAGAUUAAGUGGCUGCUGCAAGGUCAUAGAAUUUCUGUGUGGAAAACAAGGAACCUAAAACUACAUCCAAGGUAUGCAAAUCCAGACCUAUAUCCACUGUACAUAUUAGUGUGCUGUAAAUAUUGGUGAGGAUGGCUGAGCAUUUUCCUGCCAUCUCCAAAAUCUCUCACCUUCAUGUUUCUAUUUCCUUGAAGACUCCUAUUAAAUUGACAAUGCUGUCAGAAAGGGAAGACUUUAUAUGGAUUGUUAGUGUGUCGGAUUUGUCUUCUAGAAUCAUUUUACAGAAGCAAAUGGUACACAGGACUGUUAAGUUUGCAUGAAAGCAAAUUAAAAAUAAAUCAGUCAGAAAAUCCUUAACAGCCAUGAAACAACAUUGUAUCCAGAUAAAUUGGGGAGUUUUUAUCAAUAAAACCAAAGAUGAGCAACUCAUCCUGGUUUGUCUGGGACAUUUGGGCUUUAGCAUUGAAAGUCCCACAUCCUAGAAAAUCCUGCAGACCUGGGUAAACAGGGAUAGUUGGUCACCCUACAGUAAAACCCUACAUUAAUUAUUCACUAUCUAGAGAGCAUUGCUUUCAUGAAGUAAUCAUAACCACUUCUGCCUACAUUUUCUUGGCCAACAUAUAUCACAUGGAUACUCCUGGGUUUAAUAAAGUAGAGAUAACAUAAUCAUUCUACUGGGAGCAGCAAAAUUAGACUGUUUGGCCAAGAGUAAUACAAUCCACCAUAACUGGUAAUUAGUAUAUCUAAUGAUCCAACCUAGAAGGAACAGAGGAAGCAUGGAAAGCCUUCAGGGCACUAACUUCCACUUGUCAUGGAGGUAUCAGUGGUUAGUCACCUGCAUUCUUUAAGUUUUUACCAAAGUUUAGAUUUGGACUUUAGAACUAGAGGAGGCCUCAGAGAAUGGCUUAGCCCUCUGGUGAUGGACUGGUAAAGUGUGACUAUCAUUGUCUUAAAAAUGAGGCAUCUGAUGCCUAAGUGAUUGGAUCCUUCAGGUGUUCCAGAUAGGAAGUGGUUGAAGAAAGGCCCAAUCCUUUGUCUUAUAAUCCUUCUUCCUUCUCUCUUUACUGCUCAUGGAUUGGAAUUUGGCUCAAGAUUUUUUGAUAACUGUCCAAUUGUUAUUCAACAAGCUUCAUUUUUAAAGUGAGGCCAGCAAUAUCAACUCUCGUAAAAGUAAAUACCUCAAAUUAUAACAUUCCAAGUAAAACUUUGUUUUCUUGGCUUACUUUUCUUAAUUAUUCCAUUAAUUUUAAAUGUGAAAACAUAAUUAUAUCAUUGGAUUCAUCUCCUAGAUAGUAUAGGAAACAAUCCCCCAAAAGAAAUGAUAUCAACCAAUGUCUUGAUACAAUAAUUGGUCUUGGACAUAAAAUUGAUUAUUAGACAUUACAUGAAUAUUUUGUUUAGGUGUCUCCACUUUUUUAUUGAAAAAAAAAGAAAAAAACCCUCUCCAAAUUGUACUGCCUUGAACUAGAUCCAGAGUAAUAAUGAGAAACUUAGAGGUGGUCAGGACAUAUGGUACAGAAAACUGUUAUGAGUUUCUAAAAUUAAGGGAUCUGAAGGCCAGAGAAGAAAGGCCACUCUUCCAUUCUCUUGGCUAGAUCUUCAAGCCAAAGUAAAAUGACAUGCUUACAUAUUUGACCUUUAGUGUCAUCCAAGUACAAUGAACGAUAUUUUCAAAGAGAAUAGCUAACCCAUGUCAUUCUUAAAUUAGUUUAUUUCCUUUUUGAUCAAUUUGGAAGUCAGAAUGAGCCAGCAGGACUAGGGACAAACCAUGUACUAAUAACACUCUCCAAAGUCUUUGCUGACUAAUGUAUUACUAAUUAUUAUAGCCUUUUACCUGCUCUAAUUGAUUCUUUGUGCUAGUCUUCUUUUUAAAAUUCCCUUGCAAAGAGCCUAAUAGGCUCUCAGUUUCAUUCUACAGUAAGAAUAUCCAUUUUGGGUAAAUUUUGAAACCCUCAUAGCCUCACCUCACCCUAUUUUUUAAAACUUUUAUCUGGGUAUAGAUAGGUAAGUGUGCAUGUGUGUGUGUGUGUGUGUGUGUGUGUGUAAAGAAUUGUAGUUCAUUUACUUAAACACUUGAGAUGAUCUAAAUGAACUUGAUUGUAUACAGAUAUAUAUAUCUGUAUAACAUGUUGAAAUUUGACAUAAACUUUUUUUCCUGACUCCCCUUCUUAUUUAUGAGUAUUUUUCAUCUGUAACAUGAGGGCUCACUAAAAUAAGCAUAUUAAGUGCUUAGAAUACAGUAAGAGGGGCGCCCGGGUGGCUCAGCGGUUUAGCAGGAAAGGCCCAAUCCUUUGUCUUAUAACCCUUCUUCCUUCUCUGGUCAGGCUCAGGCUCUGGGCUUUUAGCCCAGAGCGUGAUCCUGGAGACCCGGGAUCAAGUCUCAUGUCGGGCUCCUUGCAUGGAGCCUGCUUCUCCCUCUGCCUGUGUCUCUCCCUCUGCCUGUAUCUCUGCCUCUGCCUGUGUCUCCCUGCUUCUCUCUCUGCCUGUGUCUCUGUCUCUGUCUCUCUCUCUCUCUGUGUGUGUCUCUCAUUAAUAAAUAAAAUCUUAAAAAAAAGAAUACAGUCAGAGUUUAACAAAAGGUAGUAUGGAAUAGGAGCUAAUAGAGAAGCAGAUAUUACAUAGGAGGUAUAGAAACAGCAGCAAUGGUGAUAUUGAUCUUAGUAGAACAAAAUCCCUGAGUGACACAGCAAAGGAUGACCUCAUCAGCUCUCUUCCUUCUCUCAGAAAAGGGCUAUAUGUGAUGUGGCAGAGAUUGUAGCUAAUCACCAAAAAUACAUGUUAUACUCUUUUGUCCUGGGCACCCAACUAGAGUUUAUUUCCCAUUCUUCAUCACAGGUAGGUGUGUACAAAUAAAUUCUGGCCAAUAAAAUAUGAGCAGAAAUUAUGUAUACCACUUCCAGUCCUAGAUUGGAAAACCUCUGAUAUAUUUUCCAUCCUGAUUUCAGGGCUCGAUCUAAUAAAUAUGACUCUAAGAACAACUUUUUAAAACCAUAUUAAACUUCAACUUGUUUG